This 253-nucleotide ribosomal RNA is filed under the name uncultured bacterium. Its description in RNAcentral is "partial 16S ribosomal RNA". It matches the Rfam family "Bacterial small subunit ribosomal RNA", at positions 524 to 776 of the family's 1533-position model. The record is from RNAcentral.
UACGGGGGGGGCAAGCGUUGUUCGGAAUUACUGGGCGUAAAGGGUUCGUAGGUGGCUUGCUCAGUCAGACGUGAAAUCCCUCAGCUUAACUGGGGAACUGCGUCUGAUACUGGCGAGCUUGAGUGCAGGAGAGGAACGCGGAAUUCCAGGUGUAGCGGUGAAAUGCGCAGAUAUCAGGAGGAACACCGGUGGCGAAGGCGGCAUCCUGGACCAAUACUGACGCUGAGGAGCGAAAGCCAGGGGAGCAAACGGG